Molecule: ribosomal RNA, 435 nt
Filed under: uncultured Anaerolineaceae bacterium
Lineage: Bacteria; Bacillati; Chloroflexota; Anaerolineae; Anaerolineales; Anaerolineaceae
Description: bacterial SSU rRNA
Rfam family: Bacterial small subunit ribosomal RNA
Source: RNAcentral
AGCAUGUGGUUUAAUUCGAUGAUACGCGAAGAACCUUUACCAGGGUUUGACAUGCAAGUGGUAGGAAGCCGAAAGGUGACCGACCCUUCGGGGAGCUUGCACAGGUGCUGCAUGGCUGUCGUCAGCUCGUGUCGUGAGAUGUUCGGUUAAGUCCGCUAACGAGCGCAACCCUCGCUGUGUGUUAUAUGUGUCACACAAUACCGCCGGUAUUAAGCCGGAGGAAGGUGCGGAUGACGUCAAGUCAGCAUGACCUUUAUAUCCAGGGCUACACACACGCUACAAUGGACAGUACAACAGGUUGCCAAGCCGCGAGGCGGAGCCAAUCCUCUAAAGCUGUCCUCAGUUCAGAUUGCAGGCUGCAACUCGCCUGCAUGAAGUUGGAGUUGCUAGUAACCGCAGGUCAGCUAUACUGCGGUGAAUACGUUCCCGGGGAUU